This 253-nucleotide ribosomal RNA is filed under the name uncultured bacterium. Its description in RNAcentral is "partial 16S ribosomal RNA". It matches the Rfam family "Bacterial small subunit ribosomal RNA", at positions 524 to 776 of the family's 1533-position model. The record is from RNAcentral.
UACGUAGGGGGCUAGCGUUGUCCGGAUUUAUUGGGCGUAAAGAGCGUGUGGGCGGCCAGGUAGGUCUGGUGUGAAAACUCGAGGCUUAACCUCGAGAUGUCAUCGGAAACCAUCUGGCUAGAGUCCGGAAGAGGAGAGUGGAAUUCCUGGUGUAGCGGUGAAAUGCGCAGAUAUCAGGAAGAACACCAAUGGCGAAAGCAGCUCUCUGGGACGGUACUGACGCUGAGACGCGAAAGCGUGGGGAGCGAACAGG